GUGGGGAAUUUUGGACAAUGGGGGCAACCCUGGUCCAGCCAUGCCGCGUGCGGGAAGAAGGCCUUCGGGUUGUAAACCGCUUUUGUCAGGGAAGAAACGCUCUGGGCUAAUACCCCGGGGUAAUGACGGUACCUGAAGAAUAAGCACCGGCUAACUACGUGCCAGCAGCCGCGGUAAUACGUAGGGUGCAAGCGUUAAUCGGAAUUACUGGGCGUAAAGCGUGCGCAGGCGGUUGUACAAGACAGAUGUGAAAUCCCCGGGCUCAACCUGGGAACUGCAUUUGUGACUGUACGGCUGGAGUGCGGCAGAGGGGGAUGGAAUUCCGCGUGUAGCAGUGAAAUGCGUAGAGAUGUGGAGGAACACCGAUGGCGAAGGCAGCCCCCUGGGUCAAGAUUGACGCUCAUGCACGAAAGCGUGGGGAGCAAAC
This 427-nucleotide ribosomal RNA is filed under the name uncultured bacterium. Its description in RNAcentral is "bacterial SSU rRNA". It matches the Rfam family "Bacterial small subunit ribosomal RNA", at positions 354 to 773 of the family's 1533-position model. The record is from RNAcentral.